GAUGAACGCUAGCUACAGGCUUAACACAUGCAAGUCGAGGGACCGGCGCACGGGUGAGUUACACGUAUCCACCCUCCCCUUUACUCGGGGAUCGCCUUUCGAUAGCAAGAUCAAUACCCUAUAUAAAGCAUGGGUAUGCUUUCCAUUUGGUUGUUGGUGAGGUAACGGCUCAUCAAGGCUUCGAUGGAUAGGGGUGCGGAGGGGAAGGUCCCCCACAUUUGAACUGAGACACGGUCCAAACUGCGACGGGGGGCAGGAGUGAGGAAUAUUGGGCAAUGGGCGCUAGCCUGAACCAGCCAAGUAGCGUGAAGGAGCAAGGCUUAGGGAUCGUAAACUUGUGUUAUAUAAGAAGAUGUAUUAUAUGAAUAAGGAUCGGCUAACUCCGUGCCAGCAGCCGCGGUAAUUC
This 406-nucleotide ribosomal RNA is filed under the name uncultured bacterium. Its description in RNAcentral is "partial 16S ribosomal RNA". It matches the Rfam family "Bacterial small subunit ribosomal RNA", at positions 28 to 526 of the family's 1533-position model. The record is from RNAcentral.